GCACAAGCGGUGGAGCAUGUGGUUUAAUUCGAUGCAACGCGAAGAACCUUACCUGGUCUUGACAUCCACGGAAGUUUUCAGAGAUGAGAAUGUGCCUUCGGGAACCGUGAGACAGGUGCUGCAUGGCUGUCGUCAGCUCGUGUUGUGAAAUGUUGGGUUAAGUCCCGCAACGAGCGCAACCCUUAUCCUUUGUUGCCAGCGGUCCGGCCGGGAACUCAAAGGAGACUGCCAGUGAUAAACUGGAGGAAGGUGGGGAUGACGUCAAGUCAUCAUGGCCCUUACGACCAGGGCUACACACGUGCUACAAUGGCGCAUACAAAGAGAAGCGACCUCGCGAGAGCAAGCGGACCUCAUAAAGUGCGUCGUAGUCCGGAUUGGAGUCUGCAACUCGACUCCAUGAAGUCGGAAUCGCUAGUAAUCGUGGAUCAGAAUGUCACGGUGAAUACGUUCCCGGGC
Molecule: ribosomal RNA, 456 nt
Filed under: uncultured Gammaproteobacteria bacterium
Lineage: Bacteria; Pseudomonadati; Pseudomonadota; Gammaproteobacteria
Description: bacterial SSU rRNA
Rfam family: Bacterial small subunit ribosomal RNA
Source: RNAcentral